This 253-nucleotide ribosomal RNA is filed under the name uncultured bacterium. RNAcentral's name for it is "partial 16S ribosomal RNA". It matches the Rfam family "Bacterial small subunit ribosomal RNA", at positions 524 to 776 of the family's 1533-position model. The record is from RNAcentral.
UACGUAGGGUGCAAGCGUUGUCCGGAAUUAUUGGGCGUAAAGAGCUCGUAGGCGGUUCGUCGCGUCGGCUGUGAAAUCCCGAGGCUCAACCUCGGGUCUGCAGUCGAUACGGGCAGACUGGAGGUAUGCAGGGGAGAACGGAAUUCCUGGUGUAGCGGUGAAAUGCGCAGAUAUCAGGAGGAACACCGGUGGCGAAGGCGGUUCUCUGGGCAUGUCCUGACGCUGAGGAGCGAAAGUGUGGGGAGCGAACAGG